RNAcentral lists this ribosomal RNA (465 nucleotides) under Vreelandella stevensii. RNAcentral's name for it is "partial 16S ribosomal RNA". It matches the Rfam family "Bacterial small subunit ribosomal RNA", at positions 338 to 795 of the family's 1533-position model. The record is from RNAcentral. Lineage: Bacteria; Pseudomonadati; Pseudomonadota; Gammaproteobacteria; Oceanospirillales; Halomonadaceae.
CCUACGGGUGGCAGCAGUGGGGAAUAUUGGACAAUGGGGGGAACCCUGAUCCAGCCAUGCCGCGUGUGUGAAGAAGGCCCUCGGGUUGUAAAGCACUUUCAGUGAGGAAGAACGCCUGGUGGUUAAUACCCAUCAGGAAAGACAUCACUCACAGAAGAAGCACCGGCUAACUCCGUGCCAGCAGCCGCGGUAAUACGGAGGGUGCGAGCGUUAAUCGGAAUUACUGGGCGUAAAGCGCGCGUAGGUGGCUUGAUAAGCCGGUUGUGAAAGCCCCGGGCUCAACCUGGGAACGGCAUCCGGUACUGUCAAGCUAGAGUGCAGGAGAGGAAGGUAGAAUUCCCGGUGUAGCGGUGAAAUGCGUAGAGAUCGGGAGGAAUACCAGUGGCGAAGGCGGCCUUCUGGACUGACACUGACACUGAGGUGCGAAAGCGUGGGUAGCAAACAGGAUUAGAUACCCUUGUAGUC